GGAGGGUGCAAGCGUUAAUCGGAAUUACUGGGCGUAAAGCGCACGCAGGCGGUUGGAUAAGUUAGAUGUGAAAGCCCCGGGCUCAACCUGGGAAUUGCAUUUAAAACUGUCCAGCUAGAGUCUUGUAGAGGGGGGUAGAAUUCCAGGUGUAGCGGUGAAAUGCGUAGAGAUCUGGAGGAAUACCGGUGACGAAGGCGGCCCCCUGGACAAAGACUGACGCUCAGGUGCGAAAGCGUGGGGAGCAAACAGGAUUAGAUACCCUGGUAGUCCACGCCGUAAACGAUGUCGAUUUGGAGGCUGUGUCCUUGAGACGUGGCUUCCGGAGCUAACGCGUUAAAUCGACCGCCUGGGGAGUACGGCCGCAAGGUUA
RNAcentral lists this ribosomal RNA (370 nucleotides) under uncultured bacterium. RNAcentral describes it as "bacterial SSU rRNA". It matches the Rfam family "Bacterial small subunit ribosomal RNA", at positions 527 to 896 of the family's 1533-position model. The record is from RNAcentral.